RNAcentral lists this ribosomal RNA (445 nucleotides) under Ototyphlonemertes santacruzensis. RNAcentral describes it as "partial 16S ribosomal RNA". It matches the Rfam family "Archaeal large subunit ribosomal RNA", at positions 1928 to 2666 of the family's 2987-position model. Lineage: Eukaryota; Metazoa; Nemertea; Enopla; Monostilifera; Ototyphlonemertidae. The record is from RNAcentral.
GCUUCUUGUAUUUUAGAAGUAUUUUCUGCUCGGUGGUUUUUAACAGCCGCGGUAAUUUGACCGUGCAAAGGUAGCAUAAUCAUUUGCCUUGUGAUUGAGGGCUGGAAUGAAUGAAUUGACAAAGGUUCUUCUUUAUUUAAAUAAAAAAAAUAAUUUUCUUUUUUAGUGAAGAAGCUAAAAUAUGAAAGGGGACAAGAAGACCCUUUUGAGCUUUAUCGUUUGUUUUUUUACUUGUUAACGAUUUGGUUGGGGCGACCGAGGAAUAUCUUCCUUUUUUAUUUUGAUCCGCGGUUUGUGAUUUAAAGAGUAAGUUACCAAAGGGAUAACAGCGUAAUUUUUUUUGAAAGUUCUUAUUGAAGAAAAAGAUUGCGACCUCGAUGUUGACUUAUAGUUUCCUCUUAGUGUAGCAGUUAAAAGGGUGGGUCUGUUCGACCUUUAAUACUUU